This 450-nucleotide ribosomal RNA is filed under the name uncultured bacterium. RNAcentral's name for it is "bacterial SSU rRNA". It matches the Rfam family "Bacterial small subunit ribosomal RNA", at positions 29 to 524 of the family's 1533-position model. The record is from RNAcentral.
AACGAACGCUGGCGGCAUGCCUAACACAUGCAAGUCGAACGAACCCUUCGGGGUUAGUGGCGCACGGGUGCGCAACGCGUGGGAAUCUGCCCUUUGCUUCGGAAUAACAGUUAGAAAUGACUGCUAAUACCGGAUAAUGUCUUCGGACCAAAGAUUUAUCGGCAAAGGAUGAGCCCGCGUAGGAUUAGCUAGUUGGUGGGGUAAAAGCUCACCAAGGCGACGAUCCUUAGCUGGUCUGAGAGGAUGAUCAGCCACACUGGGACUGAGACACGGCCCAGACUCCUACGGGAGGCAGCAGUGGGGAAUAUUGGACAAUGGGCGAAAGCCUGAUCCAGCAAUGCCGCGUGAGUGAUGAAGGCCUUAGGGUUGUAAAGCUCUUUUACCCGGGAUGAUAAUGACAGUACCGGGAGAAUAAGCUCCGGCUAACUCCGUGCCAGCAGCCGCGGUAAU